RNAcentral lists this ribosomal RNA (253 nucleotides) under uncultured bacterium. Its description in RNAcentral is "partial 16S ribosomal RNA". It matches the Rfam family "Bacterial small subunit ribosomal RNA", at positions 524 to 776 of the family's 1533-position model. The record is from RNAcentral.
UACGUAGGGGGCAAGCGUUGUCCGGAAUUAUUGGGCGUAAAGCGCGCGCAGGCGGUGCGUUAAGUCGGAUGUGAAAGGCUACGGCUCAACCGUAGAGCUGCAUCCGAAACUGGCGGACUUGAGUGCAGGAGAGGGGAGUGGAAUUCCCGGUGUAGCGGUGAAAUGCGUAGAGAUCGGGAGGAACACCAGUGGCGAAGGCGGCUCCCUGGCCUGUAACUGACGCUGAGGCGCGAAAGCGUGGGGAGCAAACAGG